AUGAGAGUGGAAGAUAAUGAAUAGCAGCUGCUGUUUGUGGAGCCUGUACCACCUGCUGGGACCACCCUGGGCUGAACCCAUUGUAAACAUCCAUUCAUCAAAGCCCCAUCACAGCCCUCCAAGAUGUCAUGAAGAUUAAACAAGAUAAGAGUAUGGUGCUUGGCAUCCAGUAGGUGCUUAACAGAGGGAAUCCACUGGAUUAAAAAGCCCUGCAGAAGCCAGACAUGGUGGCACAAGCCUGCAGUCCCAGCAACUCAGGAGGCUAAGGUGGGAG
Molecule: long non-coding RNA, 274 nt
Organism: Rhinopithecus roxellana (golden snub-nosed monkey)
Lineage: Eukaryota; Metazoa; Chordata; Mammalia; Primates; Cercopithecidae
Exons: 3
Source: RefSeq, a predicted model, not a curated record